This 440-nucleotide ribosomal RNA is filed under the name uncultured bacterium. Its description in RNAcentral is "partial 16S ribosomal RNA". It matches the Rfam family "Bacterial small subunit ribosomal RNA", at positions 338 to 795 of the family's 1533-position model. The record is from RNAcentral.
CCUACGAGAGGCUGCAGUGGGGAAUAUUGGACAAUGGGGGAAACCCUGAUCCAGCGACGCCGCGUGAGUGAAGAAGUAUUUCGGUACGUAAAGCUCUAUCAGCAGGAAAGAAAAUGACGGUAGCUGACUAAGAAGCCCCGGCGAAAUACGUGUCAGCAGCAGCGGGUAUACGUAGGGGGCAAGAGUUAUCCGGAUUUACUGGGUGGAAAGGGAGCGUAGACGGGAGCGCAAGUCUGGGGAGAAAUGCCGGGGCCCAAAACCGGGACUGCUCUGGAAACUGUGAAGCUGGAGUGCAGGAGAGGUAAACGGAAUUCCUGGUGUAGCGGGGAAAUGCGUAGAUAUCAGGAGGAACACCGGCGGCGAAGGCGGCUUACUGGACUGUAACUGACGUUGAGGCUUGAAGGCGUGGGGAGCAAACAGGAUUAGAUACCCCAGUAGUC